CACCCGAAUCGUCUAUGAUUUUAAGAUUCUGUUUCCAUCGGAUUGCUUCGUGUUUCAUGUUCAAUGAUAAUCAUUCAAUGCCGCUAAACAUUUCGUUGGAGCAGGCAUUGACAAAUCCCGUGUCUGAUAACGUCAGCUGAGGGUGGCAGCGUGAUUGGUUCACGGUGAUGGCGAAUACCCCCGAUGCUUUACACAAACCAUUAGCUACAUCUUUGACGCAGCGGCAUUCUGCUCGAGUUCUAGAAUUUUACGUAUGAGCUCACUAUUCACAAUAGGAGUUGUCCACGUCUUCCUAAAGUAAAAAGAUCAAGAGUUAAAAUUUCCAAUGACAAUAAAAAUAAUGUAUAUACCUUAUUCAAUCAUGUGAUCCUUUGUACAUAAUAAUUUUGUUUGUUUUGUUUUUUAUAUAAAAUUUUUCUUUCACGAACAGGAUGGUCGGAGGCUCGGAGCUGAUCUUCUAUUUCAGCCUUACCUUUUUCGUUUCACAUUUUCAAGGCUUCUUGUUAAAGUAAAAAGCUUCUGUAAACUGUAUUGAUUUUCCAAUUCUGUGUAUAGAAGGAUGUGAAACAUACAAAGUUAUGUAGACAUAUCUAUAG
Daphnia magna is the source of this 596-nucleotide long non-coding RNA. RefSeq lists it as uncharacterized. The transcript has 2 exons. The record is from RefSeq and is a predicted model, not a curated record. NCBI's taxonomy places the organism in Eukaryota, Metazoa, Arthropoda, Branchiopoda, Diplostraca, Daphniidae.